RNAcentral lists this ribosomal RNA (429 nucleotides) under Verrucomicrobiota bacterium. Its description in RNAcentral is "Verrucomicrobia bacterium partial 16S ribosomal RNA". It matches the Rfam family "Bacterial small subunit ribosomal RNA", at positions 355 to 776 of the family's 1533-position model. The record is from RNAcentral. Lineage: Bacteria; Pseudomonadati; Verrucomicrobiota.
UAGGGAAUCUUCCGCAAUGGACGAAAGUCUGACGGAGCAACGCCGCGUGAGUGAAGAAGGAUUUCGGUUCGUAAAACUCUGUUGUUAGGGAAGAAAAAAUGUAUACUAACUAUAUACAAAAGAGACGGUACCUAACCAGAAAGCCACGGCUAACUACGUGCCAGCAGCCGCGGUAAUACGUAGGUGGCAAGCGUUGUCCGGAAUUAUUGGGCGUAAAGCGCGCGCAGGUGGUUUAGAAAGUCUGAUGUGAAAGCCCACGGCUCAACCGUGGAGGGUCAUUGGAAACUAAUAAACUUGAGUGCAGGAGAGAAAAGUGGAAUUCCUAGUGUAGCGGUGAAAUGCGUAGAGAUUAGGAGGAACACCGGUGGCGAAAGCGGCUUUUUGGCCUGCAACUGACACUGAGGCGCGAAAGCGUGGGGAGCAAACAGG